Molecule: ribosomal RNA, 460 nt
Filed under: uncultured bacterium
Lineage: Bacteria
Description: partial 16S ribosomal RNA
Rfam family: Bacterial small subunit ribosomal RNA
Source: RNAcentral
CCUACGAGUGGCAGCAGUGAGGAAUAUUGGUCAAUGGCCGGAAGGCUGAACCAGCCAAGCCGCGUGAAGGACGAAGGUGCCAAGCAUUGUAAACUUCUUUUGUCAAGGGACAAAAUCAGGCUCGAGAGCCUGACCGAGGGUACUUGAAGAAAAAGCAUCGGCUAACUCCGUGCCAGCAGCCGCGGUAAUACGGAGGAUGCGAGCGUUAUCCGGAAUUACUGGGUGUAAAGGGAGCGUAGACGGCGAGGUAAGCCUGAAGUGGAAGCCCGCGGCCCAACCGCGGAACUGCUUUGGGAACUGUUUUGCUGGAGUAUGGGAGGGGUAAGCGGAAUUCCUGGUGUAGCGGUGAAAUGCGUAGAUAUCAGGAGGAACACCGGUGGCGAAGGCGGCUUACUGGACCAUAACUGACGUUGAGGCUCGAAAGCGUGGGGAGCGAACAGGAUUAGAUACCCGAGUAGUC